UGCAUUCACUACUAUAAGUCGCUCUGGAUAAGAGUGUCUGCUGAAUGACAGAAA
Non-coding RNA from Salmo salar (Atlantic salmon), 54 nucleotides. The record is from Rfam. Lineage: Eukaryota; Metazoa; Chordata; Actinopteri; Salmoniformes; Salmonidae.